UGAUUUUUAUUUAUUUAUUUUUUUAACCAAGUCAAAGAUCAUAAAAAUUUUAUUUUUUCAUUGCUUGUCUGCCCAAGGCAGGGAGGAGACAAUGUUCAUAGAGGAAAUUGUAAGAGAUAUUUCAGAUAAAUUACAUUAUACAUCAUCAAGAGAUACUUGCAACCUGGUUGGAAUGGGUACCCACAUAACAGAAAUGGAAAAGAUAUUAUGCUUGGAGUCGAAUGCUGUCCAUAUGGUAGGAAUC
This 244-nucleotide unclassified non-coding RNA is filed under the name Hevea brasiliensis (rubber tree). The record is from RNAcentral. Lineage: Eukaryota; Viridiplantae; Streptophyta; Magnoliopsida; Malpighiales; Euphorbiaceae.